GACAGAGGGUGCAAACGUUGUUCGGAAUUACUGGGCGUAAAGCGCGUGUAGGCGGCCAACUAAGUCGGGCGUGAAAUCCCACGGCUCAACCGUGGAAGUGCACUCGAAACUGGAUGGCUAGAGUCCUGGAGAGGAAGGUGGAAUGCUUGGUGUAGAGGUGAAAUUCGUAGAUAUCAAGCGGAACACCGGUGGCGAAGGCGGCCUUCUGGACAGUGACUGGA
RNAcentral lists this ribosomal RNA (221 nucleotides) under uncultured bacterium. Its description in RNAcentral is "partial 16S ribosomal RNA". It matches the Rfam family "Bacterial small subunit ribosomal RNA", at positions 524 to 744 of the family's 1533-position model. The record is from RNAcentral.